AACGAACGCUGGCGGCAGGCCUAACACAUGCAAGUCGAGCGGACCUUUCGGGGUCAGCGGCGGACGGGUGAGUAACGCGUGGGAAUAUGCCCUUCUCUACGGAAUAGUCCUGGGAAACUGGGGGUAAUACCGUAUACGCCCUUUGGGGGUAAGAUUUAUCGGGGAAGGAUUAGCCCGCGUUGGAUUAGGUAGUUGGUGGGGUAAUGGCCUACCAAGCCGACGAUCCAUAGCUGGUUUGAGAGGAUGAUCAGCCACACUGGGACUGAGACACGGCCCAGACUCCUACGGAAGGCAGCAAUGGGGAAUCUUAGACAAUGGGGGCAACCCUGAUCUAGCCAUGCCGCGUAAGUGAUGAAGGCCUUAGGGUUGUAAAGCUCUUUCAGCUGGGAAGAUAAUGACGGUACCUGCAGAAGAAGCCCCGGCUAACUCCGUG
This 433-nucleotide ribosomal RNA is filed under the name uncultured bacterium. Its description in RNAcentral is "partial 16S ribosomal RNA". It matches the Rfam family "Bacterial small subunit ribosomal RNA", at positions 29 to 507 of the family's 1533-position model. The record is from RNAcentral.